This 374-nucleotide ribosomal RNA is filed under the name uncultured organism. RNAcentral describes it as "partial 16S ribosomal RNA". It matches the Rfam family "Bacterial small subunit ribosomal RNA", at positions 527 to 896 of the family's 1533-position model. The record is from RNAcentral.
GAACCGUCCAAACGUUAUUCGGAAUCACUGGGCUUAAAGGGUGCGUAGGCGGCCCGGAAAGUUGGGUGUGAAAGCCCUCGGCUCAACCGAGGAACUGCGCCCAAAACUAUCGAGCUAGAGGGAGAUAUAGGUGAGCGGAACUUAGGGUGGAGCGGUGAAAUGCGUUGAGAUCCUAAGGAACACCAGUAGCGAAAGCGGCUCACUGGGUCUCCUCUGACGCUGAGUGCACGAAAGCUAGGGGAGCGAAGAGGAUUAGAUACCCUCGUAGUCCUAGCCGUAAACGAUGAGCACUGGUUUGGAGGGUCCCUCCAUAGCCUUCCAGACGUAGCGAAAGUGUUAAGUGCUCCGCCUGGGGGAGUAUGGUCGCAAGGCUG